CAACCAAUCAGCGUACGUAACAGAUAUUCAAUAAAUGCCUCAUUUUUAAAUUAUACUUGGUAUAAUAUAGACAAAUGUAAAUAAAUGCUUCUCGCUAACAUUUCAGAAAUGUAUAAUAAAUACGUACCCGCCUUUUAUAUCCAUCCAUAUGGUAGAUACGCAAAAUGAUUUUGACUUGAAUUUGAAGAAUUUGGAAGAAAAUGAUGAAGGCAAGACUCGAGGCAUAUAGACGUAAAAAACAUAAAGAAGAAAUGAUCGAAUCGCUUAAAAGUUCAAUAAAGGGUGUUCUACCAUGGAACGGAAAUUCUGACGUAAAUUUCGAAAGAUUAUCAAACGAAGAAGUAUCAAGCGAGGAAACAGAAAAUUUAUGUCAGACUGUUGAAAUGUCAAAUCAAAAAAAUAUAUCGAAAGAAAGAAUAGAGAAUUUAGAGAAUGCAGAAGAUUUAGAAAGUUUGAAAGAUGAUACAGAUAAUGCGCAAUGCAGUCUCAUAAAUAAAAUAAUAUAUUUCUUAUAUUUUUCUUUAUGGCUAACAUUAUAUAUAAUUGCAAUAGAGAUUGAAUUUGGAGCUGUGUAUUUUGUGAUAUCUGCAUUAGUAUUAAUUUGUUUAAAUACAAGAUCAAGACCUAAAAAGAAAGGUGAACUCAGUGCUUAUUCCGUUUUCAAUCCAAACUGUGAAGCUAUUGAAGGAACUCUUGAUGCUUCCCAAUUUGAAAGAGAAAUUAGAUAUGGUGCUUCAAGCGUACAUUGACCAGAGAGACAAGCUUUCUAUUUUUACUCAAAAAUCGAAGAAUAAUGGAUUGCAGAAUUCCUACACCCGAAUCAUCAUCUACAAAUGUACCUAAUCCAACUAAAUCAUGUGUAGAAAUGGUUUCAGUAGGUUGUUCUACUGAUGAUUUGCAUAGUGACGAUUAUGAAGCAUAUGAGCCAGAAACCUGUACAAGAAAUAAAUUAGUUUUACGAGCUGUAAUGAAUAUAGCAAAAUUAA
Vespa mandarinia (Asian giant hornet) is the source of this 986-nucleotide unclassified non-coding RNA. Lineage: Eukaryota; Metazoa; Arthropoda; Insecta; Hymenoptera; Vespidae. The record is from RefSeq and is a predicted model, not a curated record.